Molecule: ribosomal RNA, 359 nt
Filed under: uncultured bacterium
Lineage: Bacteria
Description: bacterial SSU rRNA
Rfam family: Bacterial small subunit ribosomal RNA
Source: RNAcentral
AACGAACGCUGGCGGCAUGCCUAACACAUGCAAGUCGAACGAGACCUUCGGGUCUAGUGGCGCACGGGUGCGUAACGCGUGGGAAUCUGCCCUUAGGUACGGAAUAACUCAGAGAAAUUUGUGCUAAUACCGUAUGAUGUCGAAAGACCAAAGAUUUAUCGCCUAAGGAUGAGCCCGCGUAAGAUUAGCUUGUUGGUGAGGUAAAAGCUCACCAAGGCGACGAUCUUUAGCUGGUCUGAGAGGAUGAUCAGCCACACUGGGACUGAGACACGGCCCAGACUCCUACGGGAGGCAGCAGUGGGGAAUUUUGGACAAUGGGCGCAAGCCUGAUCCAGCAAUGCCGCGUGCAGGAUGAAGGG